RNAcentral lists this ribosomal RNA (253 nucleotides) under uncultured bacterium. RNAcentral describes it as "partial 16S ribosomal RNA". It matches the Rfam family "Bacterial small subunit ribosomal RNA", at positions 524 to 776 of the family's 1533-position model. The record is from RNAcentral.
UACGUAGGGGGCAAGCGUUGUCCGGAAUCAUUGGGCGUAAAGCGCGUGUAGGCGGCCAGGUAAGUCCGUUCUGAAAGCCCGGGGCUCAACCCCGGGAGGCGGAUGGAUACUGCUUGGCUCGAGUCCGGAAGAGGCGAGUGGAAUUCCCGGUGUAGCGGUGAAAUGCGCAGAUAUCAGGAGGAACACCGGUGGCGAAGGCGGAUCUCUGGGCCAUUACUGACGCUGAGGAGCGAAAGCGUGGGGAGCAAACAGG